GAAAAACAAACGGCAUCACAAAUUGCUAGAAAUAAAAGAAAGCUCAUAUUGCUUGACAAAAGAACUCGAGUGAUAUGUCUUCAGGAGAUAUUUUGGAUUUGGCGCAAUCACAAAGCCAAGUUAGAUCUAAGAGACAUGUGGUUCGAAGUUCAACAAUUCUCAGAUCAGUCACACGGAGAAUUAUAAAUGAUGCUACUAUUCAAGAUGAGUGUGUUACACAUGACAAUAAUGACAGCAUCGUAGCUG
Long non-coding RNA from Beta vulgaris subsp. vulgaris (sugar beet), 246 nucleotides. RefSeq lists it as uncharacterized. Lineage: Eukaryota; Viridiplantae; Streptophyta; Magnoliopsida; Caryophyllales; Amaranthaceae. The record is from RefSeq and is a predicted model, not a curated record. The transcript has 3 exons.